Molecule: non-coding RNA, 833 nt
Organism: Tetranychus urticae (two-spotted spider mite)
Lineage: Eukaryota; Metazoa; Arthropoda; Arachnida; Trombidiformes; Tetranychidae
Source: RefSeq, a predicted model, not a curated record
CUGAAAAUGAGUUUAAAACAGUUAAAAUUAAAUAAGGAAACAAAAAUACCAACUGGUUAAAGGUCAUUUAGAUGAUGUAACAGUAAAGGUUGACUUAACAAAGGGAAAAAAAGAAGCAACUAGAUAUCAUUGAACAACAAAGGCCAACUUGGAGGACCAACAAAGGGAAAAGGCGAAGAGAUGAAAAUCUAAACCUAAAAGGUCAAAAACUGUUGAAAUUGUCAAACAACCUUUGUAAAAAGAUAUUAGAUUAUCUUUGGUAACAGAUUGAACCAAAGUCAUUAAGUAAUCUGAUGAAAAUGAUUUCCUUAAUUAUACUCAACAGAUUGAGCCUAAUGUGAAUAUUAAUCGAUGUUGAUGGCUAUUUCGGUGAGUUGAUGAGUCCAAGUGUCAGUCAACACUGAGAGUGUCAAAGGUUAAUUGUGUUUAACUUUUACUUUAAUACAAAUAAACAUGAUCUUAUACACUUAAAUAAUCUAUGCCAACGGGGAUUGCGUGAUUUCAAACAAUCAAAAAUCAAAAGUGACACUUGAACCAUUAAAGCUCAAAAGCAAACCAUUUUUUGUUUUAGGAUAAAGAGGAACCCAAAAGAAGAAGAAAAAGAAGAGCAAAAAUUGCCGAAAGCGCUUUUAUAUGGAACCAAAUAUGACAAGCUCAGUGAACUGAAGAUGAAAAUGUGAAUAAGAAGAAGACAAUUAAGUUUUUUGUUUCAGUGAUAAAUAGGAUGAAGGAUGAUGAAGGAAGCAAAAUGUUACAUCAAUUUGUUUCGUCUAAUGUUGUGCCUUUAAUGUGAUCAACUAAUAGGUUUCCAUAUUGUUUUCACUCUUCAACAU